UCCGUAGGUGAACCUGCGGAAGGAUCAUUAAUGAUUAACUGUCUGUCGAGCUUGCUCACAGACUUAUCAUAUCCAUAACACCUGUGCACUUGUCGGAUGGCUUAGUGAAGACCGCAAGGUUGGAUCUAUCCAUCUACUUUACAUAACAAUUUAGUAACAAAUGUAGUCUUAUUAUAACAUAAUAAAACUUUCAACAACGGAUCUCUUGGCUCUCGCAUCGAUGAAGAACGCAGCGAAAUGCGAUAAGUAAUGUGAAUUGCAGAAUUCAGUGAAUCAUCGAAUCUUUGAACGCACCUUGCGCUCCCUGGUAUUCCGGGGAGCAUGCCUGUUUGAGUGUCAUGAAAACCCUCAACCUUAGAUUGGUUAACACCUUUCUUUGGCUUGGAUUUGGACGUUUGCCGAUGAUAAGUCGGCUCGUCUUAAAAGUAAUAGCUGGAUCUGUCUCGCGACAUGGUUUGACUUGGCGUAAUAAGUAUUUCGCUAAGGACAUCUUCGGAUGGCCGCGUUGCAAGACUAAAGACCGCUUUCUAAUCCAUUGAUCUUCGGAUUAAUAUUCUUGACAUCUGGCCUCAAAUCAGGUAGGACUACCCGCUGAACUUAAGCAUAUCAAUAAGCGGAGGA
RNAcentral lists this ribosomal RNA (621 nucleotides) under Naganishia diffluens. Its description in RNAcentral is "eukaryotic LSU rRNA". The stretch from base 186 to 339 matches the Rfam family "5.8S ribosomal RNA". Lineage: Eukaryota; Fungi; Basidiomycota; Tremellomycetes; Filobasidiales; Filobasidiaceae. The record is from RNAcentral.